This 433-nucleotide ribosomal RNA is filed under the name uncultured bacterium. Its description in RNAcentral is "partial 16S ribosomal RNA". It matches the Rfam family "Bacterial small subunit ribosomal RNA", at positions 29 to 507 of the family's 1533-position model. The record is from RNAcentral.
AGCGAACGCUGGCGGCAGGCCUAACACAUGCAAGUCGAACGAACUCUUCGGAGUUAGUGGCGGACGGGUGAGUAACACGUGGGAACGUGCCUUUUGGUUCGGGAUAACUCAGGGAAACUUGUGCUAAUACCGAAUGUGCCCUUCGGGGGAAAGAUUUAUCGCCAUUAGAGCGGCCCGCGUCUGAUUAGCUAGUUGGUGAGGUAACGGCUCACCAAGGCGACGAUCAGUAGCUGGUCUGAGAGGAUGACCAGCCACACUGGGACUGAGACACGGCCCAGACUCCUACGGGAGGCAGCAGUGGGGAAUCUUGCGCAAUGGGCGAAAGCCUGACGCAGCCAUGCCGCGUGAAUGAUGAAGGUCUUAGGAUUGUAAAAUUCUUUCACCGGGGACGAUAAUGACGGUACCCGGAGAAGAAGCCCCGGCUAACUUCGUG